Molecule: long non-coding RNA, 676 nt
Filed under: Gossypium barbadense (sea-island cotton)
Lineage: Eukaryota; Viridiplantae; Streptophyta; Magnoliopsida; Malvales; Malvaceae
Description: long non-coding RNA (GBAR_LNC022579)
Source: RNAcentral
CAAAACAGACCCAAAUAACAAAAAAAUAAAUAUAAAAACCAAAUAAAAAUAAAAUAACAGUCUAUUAUAACAAAAUUUGGCCCAAUAAACAACUCAGCCCAAUCCUAAAGCUAAUAACCUAACCCAAUUUACACGGCCCGAUUCAAGUUGAAACCCUAGCCUUCAACAGUUUUCAGCUUUAGCCGCCGCCUUCCCUCGGCCUCACGUGCCCCACGAGCCACGCCUCUGAGCUGCUCCAUGCCAGCCUCUGCCUCUGUACGCGUCAAGCCACGUCACGCGUACCCGUACCUGCACACAAACAAACAGCAGAGAGCAAAGAAACAAAAAGGACUUAGCAAAGAAAGAGGAUAACAUAAUAGAUUUUGAUUUUUUUUCUUUUUCGGUUAUUUAGGCUAUAUAAAAGCCAAACAAAAAUCGUUUUAAAGGGAGGCAAAUUGUAUCAAAAGUAGAAUAUAAAAAAAAAGGUUGCUUUUUUCAUUCGGUUUCCGAUUGCUUUUCUUUUUUGUGUGUUUUGGUAUUUCAUAUAUAUACAAGUAUAUAUGUAGAGCAAAUAAAAGAUAAAAGGAAAAAAAGGGUCGAGAAACCUUACCUGGAUCGAUGCGUUGCCGAAUCCCUCCUCCGUUCAGGCCAAGAUUGAACUGGCGAUGGGGGUUUUCGACACUGAAGCGGCGCAGAG